AAAUUGUCUAGGAGAAUCCAGGCAUGAAGUAGAAAAAUCAGAAAUCAGUGAAAACACAGACACUUCGGGCAAAAUAGAGAAAUAUAAUGUUCCGCUGAACAGGCUUAAGAUGAUGUUUGAGAAAGGUGAACCAACUCAAACUAAGAUUCUCCGGGCCCAAAGCCGAAGUGCAAGUGGAAGGAAGAUCUCUGAAAACAGCUCUUCUCUAGAUGACCUGGAAAUAGGCCCAGGUCAAUUGUCAUCUUCUACAUUUGACUCGGAGAAAAAUGAGAGUAGGCGAAAUCUGGAACUUCCACGCCUCUCAGAAACCUCUAUAAAGGAUCGAAUGGCCAAGUACCAGGCAGCUGUGUCCAAACAAAGCAGCUCAACCAACUAUACAGUAUGUGUUCUGCAUCAUUCAUUCAUUCAUUCAUUCCAUCAUCCAGCAGAUGGUCACUGAGUACUGGAAUUAGGAAAUGUCACUAGACCCUUAUAUCUGAGCCCUGGUCCCCUAGCUGUUCUCUUUUCACAUGAACCCUACCCUCGCUGGAUUUGCAGUUCUUACCAUGGUCUAAUCCUGACUUUGCUUUCUUAGUCCUGGUUCCCAC
Molecule: small RNA, 587 nt
Filed under: Pan troglodytes (chimpanzee)
Lineage: Eukaryota; Metazoa; Chordata; Mammalia; Primates; Hominidae
Description: retained intron
Source: RNAcentral